This 4746-nucleotide long non-coding RNA is filed under the name Cucumis sativus (cucumber). RNAcentral describes it as "long non-coding RNA (CSAT_LNC002623)". The record is from RNAcentral. Lineage: Eukaryota; Viridiplantae; Streptophyta; Magnoliopsida; Cucurbitales; Cucurbitaceae.
AGGCAGAAGCAUAUAUAAGCAGGCUUAUAGAGAAUGGCAAGGAACCACGAGCAUAUGCUUGGGAUCGACUGGCAAGUGGAUAUCAUUCUAAUGGUUUGACGAAUAAAGCAGCAGAAACUCUGAAGAAAGCAAUCUCAGUUAGUCCACCUCGUUGGAAGCCUAAUUAUGAUAUCUUGGCUGCAUGUCUUGAAUAUUUGAAAACAAAUGGAAAUGUGGAGUUGGCAGAGGAAAUCAUAGGGCUCCUUUGCAAACGUGAUAUUUUUCCCUUAAACAUUUGCAAGAGAUUAGAAGAUUAUAUCCACAGUGAAAACCAAAAUUCAAUCAAGUGCCUUGAUCUACUUGGCCUGAAAGAUCAGAAUGAGUAACCCAAUCAAGUUUUAGAUUGAAACAAGCUCGACUUUACUAUCUAAAGCAUGAAGAAACUUCUGAUUGUAACUGAAGUUUUUUUUUUCUCUUUCUACCAUUCUCCUUUGUUAUAGUGUAGUGUAGCAUUAACUUUUUUCAAUGUUCUUGAAAUACCCAUGUAUUUGGAUUUUGUGAUUGGGAAAACCUUUCUUCUUCUAGUAAUCAGUGUACUGAGGAUUUGCAUCUACAAUUUUUUUUUCCUUGGAACAUCUUUUUUUUCUUUUUACCUUGGAUCCCUAUGUCAUGUGCAGUAUGGGAAAUCAAAAUUUGAGAAGACUAUAUUUUUCGUUUUGACUAGCAGAAGGAUAGGAAGAAGAUAUCUUCAUUCAGGCUCUUAUGCUGCUUAAGUCUCUUUACUAGCACAGAGGGAAAGCAACUCUUUUGUGUAAGAUUUGAAAGGCAUGAUGAGCUUUAACAGAUUUUGACUGGGUAACUUGGUUAAGUUAUCAAUUUUAAUUGACUUGACUAAAAUCAAUAUUAAACUCACCUAUUUUCACACCUAUAUAUGAUCAUAUUAAUUCAUUAUCUUAUACCAAAAUGUUGAUGUGAUACAUGUCGUUCAUAUAAGGAAAAAAGUGUUGGAGUAUGUUGGAAGGACUUUUCACGUGUUAUAAAACAUUUUUUCAAACAAGAAUCUCCAGAGUCUAGUAUGUGAUUUUGGAGCACGUUCCAUUUGACAUGUCAAUUCCCACAGAAACGCUGCCAACCCGUGGAUGGUUGACCGAUUUAUAUGGGUCCUGUUAAGAUUUUAAGAUAGGGUUGAUUUGAGACAUGAUUUUCAAAUUAGAAUAUUACAAGGUUCUUUUUUCUAACAAAUGAAAUCAACAAGGAUGAGGUGUUAAAGACAUUGAUUUGAGUAUUAUAGUUGGUUCUUAAAAUUUCACAAGUCACUUUUGUCUAAAAAAAGUAAAUUGAUCUUGAACGAGAACUUCUAAGAAUAUGAGUUCUACUAGGCAAGAUUAUCUCCAAAGUGAAAACCAAACCUCAAUCAAGAGCCUUCAUCAACUCGAUGUGGAAGGUUAGAACGAGAGACUGUCAUGUGUCACAUCGAAACAAGUCUGAUUUUGUUGAGAAGGUAAAUGUGUCAAGCCUCUACCGGUGGAGUCAAGCUCAACAAAUAUUAUUUAGGUCCUAAACCUUUCACGCGUUGAUCUUUUAAAAUAAAGAAUGUGGUAAAUGUCACAUUGAACUUGUCAAACAUUUUGGUGAGGUAUCUUUUAGUUAUUGUGAUCGUUAAUUUAAUUUCGUUGCACAUUCUCCAGCCGACUAUGAACUUUUUUAUUUAUUUAGGUCCAUCUCAUUUACCCAAUAAGAGAAAGGUAGUAGUACAUGUUAAGACGUAAUUUAUCUUAAAUGAGUGUAAACGACAACUUUUUUUUGCUAUGACAACAUUACACGAAACCUAACUGCUCUCCUAACGAUGAUUUUUUUUUUUUUUUUUUGUUAUUAUAAUGUUUUAAUGAAGUUGAUUUUUAAAAAAGAGAAGUGUUAGAAAAAGGAUGCAUCUUCUUUUAUUACUAAAGAGUGGUUUUAUUUUGUUAUUGAUAUAACUUCGUAGGUCAUUUCUAUUCAUAUUUCCUAAUCUUUUUUUAAAUAGAGAAAAGGAAAAUCGACCUUUCACAUUUGGACUCUCCUCUUUCUUCCGCCGGAACUUCCCUUCGACUCCUCAGUGUUGAAUCUGACCAUGGUGAAGCUCCAUUGCUCUCAGUCAUGGCUUUUUUGCUCCAAUUUCAAGUUACUUCGGGCUCUAUUCUACUCAACAAAAUCCCUACCUUCUCCAAGUACCGAGGAUACCCUCUUCCGAAGGGUUUAUCGGGCAGGUGAUCCUCGAACCUCGAUUGUUCGCGUGUUGGACCAAUGGGUCGAAGAAGGCCGACAAGUCAAACAGUCCGAUCUCCAAACGCUUAUCAAGCAGCUCAGGAAGUUUGGUCGCUUCAACCAAGCUCUGCAGGUACCCUUGUUCCGAAAUCGCAUUCCUUCUUACCACUUGUUGCCUUGUACUAUACUUGAAAAUUUUCUCAUUCUGGUCUGGCCCUUUCAUAUGAUAAUGAAUGUUUAGUUCGUUGAAGAGGAAAUUGGGUGGCGUCUAAAAAUUCAUUUGUUGGUAUCAACUUUAGCUUACCUUGUAUCUAUUAAAGCAUAUACCUUUGGAGCUUAAAGGUUCCAAUCCUCUCGCCUCACAUGUUAUUGAACAAAAAAAAAAACUGCCUAUUGGUGUGAAAUUUCCGACUGACCCAAAAGCUUAAACUAAUGAGUUAUGGUAAAUAUAAUUAUUAUCAAUACUCUAACUCUCCUCUUCACUUGUAAGUUUGAAAAUUUGAAGAAUACACAACAAAAAUCAAUAUUUUAACAUGAGUUUGAACAUGAAACCUCAUGUACUGAUAACAUUCAUUAAUCUAAUAAGCUUGGACUGAUGGGUUAUUUGCUAGUGAUAUUGACACUUCAACAAACAACUUGUAUCUCUUUUAUCCCAACAAUAGGAGCUCCUUUUCAUUUUAAAAAAAAUGGUAUGCAUCUUUAUUGAGGAAGGAGACUGUUCUUUGUAACCCAUCAGAACAGUAGAACGUUUAUGUUCUGUCAGCUUUUAGUACAGACCAUUUGGUAAGUUUAAACUUCCCCAGCUUGGGCUUUCUUUACCCACAAUUAAGGGCAACGUUGUAUUUUCAGUCACUAUAUUAAUGAUCUUACCUAGUAAGGUGGACUAGUUGUGGCAGUCCUCUUUCCCUUUUUCUUUGUCUUCUCUCAAACUGAAGCGUUGAACUUAGAUCAUCUAUGAAUGGUAAACCAUAAAUAUGUCUUCGUUAUCCACAAUUUGGCAUUAUUGAUUACUGUAAUAGUGUAAUGCAACAGUUGUGCGAAUGGGUACGUAAUGAAAGGAACCAAUGCCUGUCGACUGGGGACAUUGCUGUUGAGUUGCACUUAAUUUCAAAAGCUCGUGGUUUGGAACAAGCUGAGAAGUAUUUUAGCAGCAUUGGGGAAUCUUCAAGAGAUCAUAAGGUUUAUGGAGCACUUCUACACUGUUAUGUAGAGAAUAAAAAUUUGAAAAAGGCAGAGGCAAUCAUGCAGAAAAUGAGGGAAGUAGGAUUUAUGAAAACACCACUUUCUUAUAAUGCCAUGUUAAACCUUUAUGCUCAUCUCGGUAAACAUGAGAAACUUGCUGAAUUAUUGAAAGAAAUGGAAGAAAUGGGAAUUGGUCCGGAUAGAUUUACAUAUAAUAUUCGUAUGAAUGCUUAUGCAGCUGCUUCCGAUAUAACAAACAUGGAAAAGCUUUUGUCAAAAAUGGAGGCAGAUCCACUAGUUGCUACGGAUUGGCAUACUUAUUUUGUCGUAGGAAAUGGAUAUUUCAAAGCUGGUCUUUCUGAAAAUAGUAUAUUGAUGCUGAAGAAAGCAGAACAAUUCAUUGGUGACAAGCAAAAAUGGCUUGCAUACCAAUAUCUCAUGACACUAUAUGCUGCUAUUGGAAAUAAGGAUGAGGUGUAUCGGGUUUGGAACUUGUACACGAAUCUGCAAAAGAGAUUCAAUUCCGGAUAUCUUUGUAUAAUAAGUUCAUUAAUGAAACUGGACGAUAUCGAUGGUGCUGAAAGAAUCUUGAAGGAAUGGGAAUCAGGGGAUACAUCUUUUGAUUUCAGAAUCCCAAACAUGAUGAUAAAUAGUUAUUGUACGAAGGGAUUUGUGGAUAAGGCCGAAGCAUAUAUAAACAGGCUUAUAGAGACUGGCAAGGAACCAGAAGCAAAUACUUGGGAUCUACUGGCAAGUGGAUAUCAUUCUAAUGGUUUGACGAAUAAAGUAGCAGAAACUCUGAAGAAAGCAAUCUCAGUUAGUCCACCUCAUUGGAAGCCUAAGUAUCAUAUCUUGGCCGCAUGUCUUGAAUAUUUGAAAACAAAUGAAAAUGUGGACUUGGCAGAGGAAAUCAUAGGGCUCCUUUGCAAACGUGAUAUUUUUCCCUUAAACAUUUGCAAGAGAUUAGAAGAUUAUAUCCGCAGUGAAAACCAAAACUCAAUCAAGUGCCUUGAUCUACUUGGCCUGAAAGGUCAGAAUGAGGAACCCGAUCAAGUGUUAGAUUGAAACAAGCUCGACUUUGCUGAGCUAAAGCAUGAAGAAACUUCUGAUUGUAACUCAAUUUUUUUUUCUCUUUCUACCAUUCUCCUUUGUUAUAGUGUAGUGUAGCAUUAACUGUUUUCAAUGUUCUUGAAAUACCCAUGUAUUUGGAUUUUAUGAUUGGGAAAACCUAUCUUCUUCUAGUAAUCAGUGUACUGGGGAUUUGCAUCUACAAUUUUUUUUUCCUUGGAACAUCUUUUUUUUUCUUUUUACCUUGGAGCCCUAUGUCAUGUGGAGUACGGG